GCCUGAUUCCUCAAUAUAAUGAAGAACAAGUAAGAUUUAAAAAGACAUUGUAGGAAUAGCAAAAGAAUUAGCAGCUGAGAAUCUGCACUGUGCAAAGGAAGACACUAGAAAAGAUACAAGGACAGUUGAACACAGAGGGUAUAAGGAGAAGAAGUUUAAGGCAGAAAAUAUUAAAGAGUUAAAGUGUCAGCAGCUGAAUAAAUGAGAAAGCCUAUUUAAUUACUGAAACUACAUCUUAUAAGUACCACUUAUAAGUAAGAUUAUGUUAUAUUUUGGGUUUACAUAUUUUAUUAUUUCAAUAUCUCUCCCAAGAAAAUGCUAAUAAUCUCAACACUCUUUGGAAAAUGUUUUCACAAGAAGAGGAUAUCAAAGGAGCAAAGGCCACACAGUCUUAGCGCACUGCAACUGUUGGACUAGGAUUAACAAGAAAAAGAAAAAGAGAAAAAGAAAAAGAAAAAGAAAAAAAAGAAAAAGAAAAAGAAAAAGAAAAAGAAAAAGAAAAAGAAAAAGAAAAAGAAAAAGAAAAAGAAAAAGAAAAAGAAAAAGAAAAAGAAAAAGAAAAAGAAAAAGGAAAAGAAAAAGGAAAAGAAAAAGAGAAGCCAAGAGGGAUAAUUUGUUUCUCCAGGGCAAAUGAUAGCUACAGCAAACAGCUUUACAGGCUCUCUAAGGAUACCAAAUCUCUACACCUCUGACAUUAGGCCAGCCAAAAGACUUGUACAUGGAAGUUUUACGUUGAAGAUACCUAACUUAAUCCAGCCAAAGUGCCCAAUCUGGGGAGAUUACUGGAGUCCAGACAAACCAUGAAAGAUGUAGAAAAUGGAACUCCAAGCUGACAUCUUUGCUCUACAGUGUCCACUGUGACGUGAGAAAGCAGCUGCAUGUACCAGAGCCUCAAGGCUAUUCUGUUUUCAAGUCUUUCCUAUUGUUCAUAUCUGGAAUGUUCAGAUUCCGUUUCUUCCCAGCAGAAGAACCAUCUACUUUCCCUUGUGGGAAUAUUCCUUGGCAUAGUAGUAGACAACACAUUAUUUUAGUGCAUUAAUAUUUAUGUUUGAGGGUCUUAUUUAAAGUACAUCUUUGUGAAUGCUGUUCAGACUUGCAUCCAGAAAAUAUUUUUAAUUUAAAUCCAGUUCUUUCUUAGAAUAUAAACAUUCUCCUUUCUACAAUGUACAUAAACUGCAUAAAUAAAAGGCCUUUUUCACCUCUGAUAUUUCA
Molecule: long non-coding RNA, 1212 nt
Filed under: Junco hyemalis (dark-eyed junco)
Lineage: Eukaryota; Metazoa; Chordata; Aves; Passeriformes; Passerellidae
Description: lncRNA (ENSJHYG00000011029.1)
Source: RNAcentral